Aotus nancymaae (Ma's night monkey) is the source of this 184-nucleotide unclassified non-coding RNA. The record is from Ensembl. NCBI's taxonomy places the organism in Eukaryota, Metazoa, Chordata, Mammalia, Primates, Aotidae.
CCAGUAGUUUGCACAAACUGAAGUCGUCCACUUGCCCAUAAAACAGGUAGCAAGUGAGCAGGGGCGGUACAGACUUUCCCACAGUCCUUUAUCAAUAUGUCAGUGUUGCGACCUCAAAGAGCAAGGACUAAGAGUGAGAGAGAAUUAGCCAGUCAGUGCACCCCAUUUAAUCCUUGGUGCUGUU